This 404-nucleotide ribosomal RNA is filed under the name uncultured prokaryote. RNAcentral's name for it is "bacterial SSU rRNA". It matches the Rfam family "Bacterial small subunit ribosomal RNA", at positions 355 to 774 of the family's 1533-position model. The record is from RNAcentral.
UGGGGAAUAUUGCGCAAUGGGGGAAACCCUGACGCAGCAACGCCGCGUGAUUGAAGAAGGUCUUCGGAUUGUAAAAAUCUUUUAUCAAGGACGAAGAAGUGACGGUACUUGAUGAAUAAGCUCCGGCUAACUACGUGCCAGCAGCCGCGGUAAUACGUAGGGAGCAAGCGUUAUCCGGAUUUACUGGGUGUAAAGGGCGAGUAGGCGGAUUGGCAAGUUGGGAGUGAAAUGUCGGGGCUUAACCCCGGAACUGCUUCCAAAACUGUUGAUCUUGAGUGAUGGAGAGGCAGGCGGAAUUCCCAGUGUAGCGGUGAAAUGCGUAGAUAUUGGGAGGAACACCAGUGGCGAAGGCGGCCUGCUGGACAUUAACUGACGCUGAGGAGCGAAAGCGUGGGGAGCAAACA